ACUGCUAUUUGCACAGAAACUUUCCACAGAGCUUGUAAUUUGCAUGGUCUUUCUGCUCCCCCAUUAACUGCUCCAUCCCUCUUUCCAGGUUGGAAGAGAAGAGGGGGAUCUGCCAGGUGGCUGCAUCUUGGAACACAGGCCUUGCUUUCCUGUGCCAUUUUGGAGCAGUCCUGUGUGUGGGAGAAGUACAGCUGUGGGACGCCUGAUGAAAAGAGGAAAUGGUUAGCUGGUAGCACAGGAGCCUCGUGCAAGAGGAAGAAACGUAGAAGAAAAGAAAUUGCAGUGCAGUUUCUCUGCCGAGGGAUAUCGACUGUAACAUUUACUCUGUGUCUGAGCAUGGACCCUCAGCUGUGCAGGGGGACACCAAGCCAAGGAAGGAUAUAAGGAACCCAGGCUAUGGAAUUUAUUUCUCCAGAAAAGCCUGACAAGGCCUGAGGUAAUUUUCUGUGCUGUGCAGUAAUCACUCCCUCAGUGCAGGGAACAAAUGGACACCCAGCUCUCCGUGUAAGUCACGGCCUGGUGCUGUUUCCCCUGGGCCCCAGGCAGAGGGACCGGGAGAUCCCAGCCCUCCUGCACGGCUCAGGUGUGUCCUGCACUACCUGCACCAGUGAGGACACCCUGCAGUGGGAAGGGCCAUUCUGUGACUCCUCACUCUCUGCCUUGGCUCUGUCCUGGCCUGCUGCCAUCCCAGCAGCACCACGGAGCAGGCGGAGCAAAUCCUGAAGACUGCGAGCGCCAGAAUCUGCACGGCUAAAAGAGGGCAGCAGCACCCCGGUAACGUUUGUCUGCUGAUGGAGACUCAGCAAGAGAGCUUGGGCCACAUCUCCCUUGGCUGAGUACACAUUGUUUGUCAGGCAGAAUGCUCUCCCGGCCUUCUAUGCUCCCACCAAACCAUUCAGUAAAAGGAUAAUAUUUUUCUUCCUACUACACUUCCCUUUUUUUUUAUUGCUGAAUGUUUCCUAAAUUGACUUUUUUUUUCCUUUGAAACCAUUAACAUAUUUAAAAACUAAAGUCAUGUAAUGAUUUAAAACAAAAAAAAAAAAAAAAACAGGGGGGGGGGGGGGGGGGGGGGGGGGGGGGGGGGGGGGGGGGGGGGGGGGGGGGGGGGGGGGGGGGGGGGGGGGGGGGGGGGGGGGGGGGGGGGGGG
This 1147-nucleotide long non-coding RNA is filed under the name Ficedula albicollis (Collared flycatcher). RNAcentral describes it as "lncRNA (ENSFALG00000021401.2)". Lineage: Eukaryota; Metazoa; Chordata; Aves; Passeriformes; Muscicapidae. The record is from RNAcentral.